GCUUGCUUCUAUGACGUUAGCGGCGGACGGGUGAGUAACACGUGGGCAACCUGCCUGUAAGACUGGGAUAACUUCGGGAAACCGAAGCUAAUACCGGAUAGGAUCUUCUCCUUCAUGGGAGAUGAUUGAAAGAUGGUUUCGGCUAUCACUUACAGAUGGGCCCGCGGUGCAUUAGCUAGUUGGUGAGGUAACGGCUCACCAAGGCAACGAUGCAUAGCCGACCUGAGAGGGUGAUCGGCCACACUGGGACUGAGACACGGCCCAGACUCCUACGGGAGGCAGCAGUAGGGAAUCUUCCGCAAUGGACGAAAGUCUGACGGAGCAACGCCGCGUGAGUGAUGAAGGCUUUCGGGUCGUAAAACUCUGUUGUUAGGGAAGAACAAGUACGAGAGUAACUGCUCGUACCUUGACGGUACCUAACCAGAAAGCCACGGCUAACUACGUGCCAGCAGCCGCGGUAAUACGUAGGUGGCAAGCGUUAUCCGGAAUUAUUGGGCGUAAAGCGCGCGCAGGCGGUUUCUUAAGUCUGAUGUGAAAGCCCACGGCUCAACCGUGGAGGGUCAUUGGAAACUGGGGAACUUGAGUGCAGAAGAGAAAAGCGGAAUUCCACGUGUAGCGGU
This 620-nucleotide ribosomal RNA is filed under the name Priestia aryabhattai. RNAcentral's name for it is "bacterial SSU rRNA". It matches the Rfam family "Bacterial small subunit ribosomal RNA", at positions 78 to 682 of the family's 1533-position model. Lineage: Bacteria; Bacillati; Bacillota; Bacilli; Caryophanales; Bacillaceae. RNAcentral also lists the same sequence under 1 other name. The record is from RNAcentral.